CCGUGCUAGGUGGGAAGAUAGCGGUGUCCUGUAACCUGCAAUCCGCUUUAGCAGGACUGAAUUCCUUUCCUAGGUUGUAUGUAUUGCAAGGCCAGCCUCUUGCACGUAGUGUUGACGUUUGGGUCCUGCGCAAUGGAAACCCAUGAACCAUGUCAGGUCCGGAAGGAAGCAGCAUUAAGUGGAACUUUUCAUGUGCCGCGGGGUUGCCUAGAUCGAGCCAACGACAAGAGUAACGCUUGUGUGCAUCAGUCGAAGAAAGGUGCACGG
RNAcentral lists this signal recognition particle RNA (267 nucleotides) under Planomicrobium sp. CPCC 101110. Its description in RNAcentral is "Bacterial large signal recognition particle RNA". It matches the Rfam family "Bacterial large signal recognition particle RNA". From Rfam's summary of the family: The signal recognition particle (SRP) is a universally conserved ribonucleoprotein involved in the co-translational targeting of proteins to membranes. Archaeal SRP consists of a 7S RNA and homologues of the eukaryotic SRP19 and SRP54 proteins. Lineage: Bacteria; Bacillati; Bacillota; Bacilli; Caryophanales; Caryophanaceae. The record is from Rfam by way of RNAcentral.